This 421-nucleotide long non-coding RNA is filed under the name Ananas comosus (pineapple). Its description in RNAcentral is "long non-coding RNA (ACOM_LNC030462)". The record is from RNAcentral. Lineage: Eukaryota; Viridiplantae; Streptophyta; Magnoliopsida; Poales; Bromeliaceae.
GUGAGGAUUGGUUUCUUAAUUCAAUGACUGAUAAGGUGUGUCAUGUGAUGUGUAGGCAUUCAUUUAUUAGUAGGUGUCCGAAUCGAUGAGGUGUGUGAUUGAACCGGAAUAAUAAAUGGUCAAAAUGUUAAUUUUGUGUGAAUAAUGGAUUUAUGGUAUUCUACUUUUGAAAAAGUUUGAUUGGUUGAUAGCUUAAAGUGGUAAGGAUGAAUUAUGCAAGGUGCAUCCACAUGAUUUUAAUUCUUAAUUAUUUACUAGUGUAGUAACCCGUGCGAUGCGACGGGUAAAAAAUUAGAAAAAAAUUAAAAAUAUUAAUGAUAUAUUUUUUCAAAAAAUUUUAAAUAAUUUAUAUUUGAUAGAUUUAAAUUAUUCAAAUAUGUAGGGAAUCUAUAUGUAUGAGUCAACAGUUUAAAAAUAAAUA